This 109-nucleotide small nuclear RNA is filed under the name Ursus americanus (American black bear). Lineage: Eukaryota; Metazoa; Chordata; Mammalia; Carnivora; Ursidae. The record is from RNAcentral.
GUAUCAAAAAUGAGAUAUUAAAGUAGAGACAAGGUGGAACGAUACAGAGAAGAUUAGCAUGGCCCCUGCGCAAGAUGACACGCAAAUUCGUGAAGCGUUCCAUAUUUUU